Molecule: ribosomal RNA, 811 nt
Filed under: Trichoderma paraviridescens
Lineage: Eukaryota; Fungi; Ascomycota; Sordariomycetes; Hypocreales; Hypocreaceae
Description: partial 28S ribosomal RNA
Rfam family: Eukaryotic large subunit ribosomal RNA
Source: RNAcentral
UAGUGAGCGGCACAGCUCAAAUUUGAAUCUGGCCCCUAGGGUCCGAGUUGUAAUUUGUAGAGGAUGCUUUUGGUGAGGUGCCGCCCGAGUUCCCUGGAACGGGACGCCGCAGAGGGUGAGAGCCCCGUCUGGCUGGCCACCGAGCCUCUGUAAAGCUCCUUCGACGAGUCGAGUAGUUGGGGAAUGCUGCUCAAAAUGGGAGGUAUAUGUCUUCUAAAGAUAAAUGUUGCCCAGAGACCGAUCGCGCACAAGUAGAGUGAUCGAAAGAUGAAAAGCACCUUGAAAAGAGGGUUAAACAGUACGUGAAAUUGUUGAAAGGGAAGCGCUUGUGACCAGACUUGGGCGCGGCGGAUCAUCCGGGGUUCUCCCCGGUGCACUUCGCCGCGUUCAGGCCAGCAUCAGUUCGGCGCGGGGGAAAAAGGCUUCGGGAACGUGGCUCCUCCGGGAGUGUUAUAGCCCGUUGCAUAAUACCCUGCGCUGGACUGAGGACCGCGCAUCUGCAAGGAUGCUGGCGUAAUGGUCACCAGCGACCCGUCUUGAAACACGGACCAAGGAGUCGUCUUCGUAUGCGAGUGUUCGGGUGUCAAACCCCUACGCGUAAUGAAAGUGAACGCAGGUGAGAGCUUCGGCGCAUCAUCGACCGAUCCUGAUGUUCUCGGAUGGAUUUGAGUAAGAGCAUACGGGGCCGGACCCGAAAGAAGGUGAACUAUGCCUGUAUAGGGUGAAGCCAGAGGAAACUCUGGUGGAGGCUCGCAGCGGUUCUGACGUGCAAAUCGAUCGUCAAAUAUGGGCAUGGGGCGACAGACUAUCG